UUGCGUCGCGCGUGCCUGCGAGCUGAGGGAAAAGGGCAGUCGCUCCCCUUCUCCUCCUACGGCGCCGCUCGCCGCCCCUCUCCUUCUCCUCCCAGCGCGCCGCCGUCUUGGCCGCCGCCCAGUUCCCUCGCUCACGUAGCCACGCUCACGCCCACGCCCCUCUGUUCCUCCUCUUCCUCGCGAGAGGAAUUGCUGUGACGCCUCCAUCUCGUUCCUCCUCCUCCUCCUCGCCGCACCUCCUCCUCCCACCUCUCUCCUCCCGUCCUCCCUCUCCCUCAUCUCUCUCUGAUGGCGGCGGGUCGCCUUGGACGCGAGCGCCGCGCCAGCACGAGCUGGGCGCCGUAUUUGGGCGUGGGCAUCGCUUAAGGCGCAAGCAUGUUGCUGCAGGUGGAGGUACUGACAAGGAGGAGGCAAGGCAGGUGGAGGACGACAGGAAGCACCUAUGGCUGACCCGCAAAUGGGAUAAUUGGCGGCAGCGGUUUCCCGAUGGUGGCCCAGAACCGAGCGUGGCGGCUACGGCCUCCUCUCAGAUGGCUUCUUCCCCAUUGGCCCGACGACCAAGGGUACUAGCUUGAGAUUAUCUCAAGCAGUAAUUUUUGAAAGAACAAAAUUACUGGGGCCAGAAAGUAUCAAGGUAGCUACAUGAGGUUACUUUCUAUAUUUGUGUGCAUGCCCGCUUGGUAGGCUUUCCAAGAAAUUGUUGUACUGAAGUGAAGACCUUUCUACCUACUGGUUUGGUAGUUAAGCUACAUUUUAGCAAAGAAUGAAGAAGAGUGGUCAGAGAAGUGUCACACAGAUCAUAGAUGCAACUCCAUCUCAAGAGCAAUAUCACCUGCAUCUUCUUUCAUUAUUUCUUUUUGUAUCAUAUUUGCUGCAUAGCUUUGUUUAUAGGAGGCCAAACCCACCCUUUUGUACUUGGUUUUAACUUCAUGUAUUUGGUUGUUUUGUUCUUAUCCAGGUCUGCUAGAAGAAUUUACAAAUGAUUAUCUCCUUCGACCUAAAGGGGCUUUUGGCAGACACCUAAUGGGGCUUCUGACAGACAAGAAAUCCUGUAAAAAUCUGAAGACAGGUCAUCUAGGCAAUGUAACACUUUGUAUCACGAGAUGUCUCAUUUGUCAGAUGAUUUUUUGAUAUUUUGUUUGCUUGACAAUGUAUAUGAAACUAUGAAUGCGAACACUAGCACAUAUAGUCUUUCUCACCAAAGUGAAUUCACUUUGCUGUUGUAUUAUAAACUUGUCUAACAUAAUCAUCUCAUCAGUUCUCCUUUGCAGGCUACUUUGUGCUUUACUCCAGGACCUAAUCAAAGCUUGGACGGUAACCAGAUCAAAGCGACCAACAUGUGCACAGAAUGCUGUUGUCGUGUUUGGCUCUUGCCGUUUCUUCCUUUACCGUGUGCGGGAGGUGCUGCAGUACAUCAAGUAGCUAUCCGAGUAUCUUUUUUCUUUCACACUUGUCUAAUUUCUUUGUACAAAGUUGUUCUAUAUUUUCUCUUUCUGACAUGAAUUUAUCAAUGAAAGGAAGCACCGAGUUCACCAAUUAAUUUUCUUUGGAGUAAUUAACUUGAGAAUUUUUUUAUGGAAAGAGUUCUAGAAAUUUGUUAAUGAUAAUUCCCUAUCAUAAACAAUUGAUCUGUUGUUUUUUUUCCUCAUUCCUUAUGCAGCUACAAUAUCUUAAUCUUUGAUUGCUUUCUAUUGGUAAAAACUCACGCCUCUUUACACAUAUUGAAAGCAUCUGCAGAUCCAUGAAUACGUCUUCCUUGCGUUUACCAAUGGUGUCAGAUAUGUGAUCUGCAAAUGUAACACCAUCAGAUAUGAUAAAUGAUUAUAUGUACAUGUUCUGCUGCUUAAUUUAUAUAGUGAAGUCACGUUGGUGUAUGUAUUAUUACUUAUCAUGGUUCUCUAUCUAAACAGAGCCAUCUAUUUAUCAGAAUUAUCCGUGUUUCCUUUCUUUUUCAAUUUAUAUAAUGAAGUCAUGUUGGAGUAUACACUGGUAAUAUUGCCGAGAAACAACUAUUGAUUAGAGAUUCAAUAUGGAUUUUGGAUCUUUAUUGUGUCGGAAAACUGAGCAUUCACAGUGAUGAUUCAUCGCUUGCUGUUCAAAUCACUAGGAGGUUUUUAGAUAUUCCAUGAAAGAUGAUGCAACUAAAUAAGAAAGAAGUACUGCACAUCUUACUUUAGGUUCCAUUCACCGGUAAAAUUAUAUAAGGUGAUCAUCUGUUGUUACUUUUUGUUCCUAGCAAACAUGUUUUCGUCUGCUUUCUGUUAACCUCUUGUAUUUCUAGAGGUAUCGAAUCUGCUAUGUGGCGUCUGAUGGUACUGGUGAAAUUGACCUUCGGUUCUUUGAAAUUGAUCUGGAUAAUAUUCCACUAUUUCUUCUUUCUAAUGAUUUUGAUUCCUACUUACAGAACUACAGUCUGAAUAUGUAUUGUUUUUCACUUCAAUUUAAUUAUGCUACUUUGUCUUUCUCUCCGUCUGCAUUGUAUACUCAAGUCGACACAUUUUUUUCUUUCACUAUAUUUUGAAAACAUUGGCGAGCUAAGACUGAAAAUUAAACCUGAAACCUUAACAACACGUGUGCUUGUGCUUUAUGUACUCGGUUCCUUAUUUCUUACAGGUUACUUGUCUUCUCUGUCAGCUUGGUCUGCCUAUUGUUAAUGGUCUGAGCACUCCGUCUGCCCCAUCUACUAUGUCUUCGACAGUUAAAACCAGGACAACUUUCAGAAUUAGCUGAUCCAGUUCGAGCUCCUGUGAUCAAACCAAAACAUUUGUCGUCGUGGGAGUAUUCCGGAUGAACUUCAAGAGUGCCCGUGUUCAUCAUUCAAAAUGCAUUCCAGUGGGUCCUCAUAAUUACCAGGGUGAUUGGUUCAUUCAUCUUCUACUUCUUCGUUUGGUUCUUCAAGUACAAUAGGCUGAUGCCCCUAUAGAGUAUAAGCUCUUCAUGCAGCAGUCUCAACCUGCUAUGGCCUCUGUUAAGGUACCUGAUCAAAAGCCUUGAAUUCAUGUAAAUUAACAUUCUUUGAAAGGCUUGCAGUGCACCUAGAAGAAAAUUAGAUGGAUAUAUUUCUCGUAGUUGUAAGUGGGUUACCAUAGAAAUCUCCAUCCUUGCAAAUAUUUCACCCGAUGAAUAAAACAUAUAUAUUGUUGGGGUUUGCCAGAGAUAUAAAGGACCACAAAUCAUUGUAAGGACGUAUUUUUUUACUCACUACGCCAAGUAUAUUAUGGAUUUCUUCCUAUCAAUAUAUAUAGAAAAGCUAUUUUUACAUACCUUAUGUGACCACGCUCGGCAUUCCAAUUGCUUUUACAUAAACAUUUUGUCAUUGCAAUGGGGCUAUAAACUUUACUCUGUUUUACUUUUUUUCCACGUAUGUACAUUUUGAGUUAUCUACAUACAUGUUAUUGCUGCAUUGGUAACUUUGCUUUAGCUGGAAAAAAAGGCUAGCAAAGUAUAUUCCAUUCCGUUGAGCAGAAGAGAUCAUAUUGUUACUGUUUUUGGAGUUGGUUCAUAAUGGUGUUAUUCGUCAAUUUAUAGACCCUUCUAUAUUUUCAAUAAAGGUUGUAUAGAGAUUCAUGGCUACGUGCAUAAGCAUAAUUCAGUAAGAAUUUAUCUAUUUUCCCUGGAACACUAUUGUCCAGCAUAUACAUGUAUUUUCUGAUUCUAACAAAGAUGCAUGCUGAUCUCUGAAAAGUACAGUAUGUAUCUUUAAUCUUAGAACUGCUGCUGUGUAGCUUGAGUAGUAGGUUGAUUUAGGUUUGUACUUCUUUGUAACUGAAACUAAUUUACAUCUGCAUCUUAUUAAGUUUGGCCAACUGCCAUUUUUUUUUUUAAUAUUGUAACCCCUGAUUUGCCACCAUCGUUUGUAAAAAUGGACUUUACCAACGUGUGAAUAUCCACAGAUAUGUCUACGAAAAUUGGAGUAUGUGGUUCAGAUUUAGUAAGUUCCUUGAAUGAAACCUCUUGCCUCACUAAAAGGUCUGAUGUGCUACAUGAAUAAUGUGAAAUGAAGUCAUAUAUCCGCUGGAAUAAAAUAGGUGUACCUGUUUUUUGUUUGUUUUUUUAGUACUAUUUCACUUCAGUUAGCUGAAAGACAAUACGAUGAGCAAACUUUCUACCAUUUGAUUUUGUACUUUCUCGUGUCAAUGAGGUGACCGAGUCAACACACUCAGGUUCUUUGUACUUUGUUAUUUACUCAGUGUUUUAAUGUAGUCAAGUUCUCACAUGUCAUAAAUCCUUUUAUAUCCACUUUUCUGCAAGGAAUGUAUGUAUUUCCAUCGGAUGCACUUGGUUUUCUCUUGAUAACAUUCAAUCAUUAAUGAUUUGGCUAUUUUUUUUUGGAUGUGAAAGCACCUGUUCAUUUUUUAUCUGUAACUGAACACUGCCUCCUAUAGAUUUUCGUGUUUGUAAUUUCUGGAAAUUUGUGUUAUCAUCAACUAUGCUAUUGGUGUGUAUAUUUUCAUGGUUUAAUCAGCAUGAAGAAUACCAGUCAAGGAAACAACAUAAUCCAGUGAUCCAAGCCUUUCGAACUCGGACACAGCACUACCCAGUAGAGAACCAGCAAAUUGAGAACCAGUGAACAAGAUGCUAAAUACUGUAGCCUGCAAGAUCUUUGGAAAAAAUAUUGUUAGCUUGAAAGAAACAACAAAGAAUUUAUGACAUCAGCGUAACUGCUUCAGUGUGGGUAGACUGAACUCUUUUGAAAUGCAGCACGAGAUUUCUUUGGGAUAUACCACCACUACAUCUGAGAACAACUGCCGAUGAUGUCCUUGAUCAUAAGAUUAUCCCCAGAAAUGAAGGAUCAAUUGCAGUUUCUACUAUACGGUCUAUUUGGAAGCUACACACAUGGUGAAUUGCAGUACCAGCUGAGUUCCAAUUCCUUUCCGAAGGCGGCCUAAACUGUCUGUGGGUUAAUUAAUAUCAAUUUGGAUGUCGCCUUACCGGAUCUGGUACAGUGUCAAGGGGUAAUUAUCUGGUGGCAAGCUGCAUGCAGUAUUCAGGUAUCACAAGUCCUGUUGUAGCUGAAACUCGUGCACGUAGAGAUGCAGUUUUGCUAGCUAUGUGGAGGAACUAUCAACGAGGAACUACCCAAUGGCAGUCCAGACAGGGAUGGGAGGCUGAAGGAGGCCAGGUCUUGCGUGAGAUGGAAAUGAUCGUCUCAAACGUUCAGGAUUUUUUUUAUCUUCUGUAUCAUGAAGGCUGAAGGAAACACCAUCAUUUGAAAAGCUUUGAAAUCAUGCUACAAGUAUUAAAGGCUUUCUUAGAUUGAUGGUUUAGGUUAACUUUAUUUAGUUAUUUAGGACCAACUGCGAUAUUCAGUAUGUAUCCUGAAAUGUUAUUGUUCCAUUGAUUUGUGGUGCGUUUGUGCCUGCUAUACUAUCCUACGGAGUACUAUUUAUCUUUUAUUGUAUCUAUUAUACCUCUAGAUCGAUUAUAGCUCUAACAGUGCCUGCUCUAGAGUUAUGUGGAAAUUUUGCUGAGUUUCA
Molecule: non-coding RNA, 5477 nt
Organism: Lolium perenne
Lineage: Eukaryota; Viridiplantae; Streptophyta; Magnoliopsida; Poales; Poaceae
Source: RefSeq, a predicted model, not a curated record